Molecule: ribosomal RNA, 253 nt
Filed under: uncultured bacterium
Lineage: Bacteria
Description: partial 16S ribosomal RNA
Rfam family: Bacterial small subunit ribosomal RNA
Source: RNAcentral
UACGAAGGGGGCUAGCGUUGCUCGGAAUCACUGGGCGUAAAGGGUGCGUAGGCGGGUCUUUAAGUCAGGGGUGAAAUCCUGGAGCUCAACUCCAGAACUGCCUUUAAUACUGAGGAUCUUGAGUUCGGGAGAGGUGAGUGGAACUGCGAGUGUAGAGGUGAAAUUCGUAGAUAUUCGCAAGAACACCAGUGGCGAAGGCGGCUCACUGGCCCGAUACUGACGCUGAGGCACGAAAGCGUGGGGAGCAAACAGG